GUGACUACUAUCACAAAAAUGUUAAUUUUAUGUUUGCAAUUAUAAGUACUUUUUUGUGUUUAAUUUUAAAUUUAAAUAUUUUUGCGCAAUUUCAGUCAAUAUUCUGAGUAUUAAUCAAGUAAUAUUCCUUUAACUAUUCGCUUUAAUUAUAGAAAAUCCGAUAAGAAAGUUGGUUCGAUUCUCAAAAAGAAAACAAAAAUUUGUGGUGUGCGAUAAACCCAAAAAGGGUAGAAAGGGGUCAAAGAGAUUUAUAUCAAUAAUAAUUUACAUAAAAUAUGUUUUAGGUCACUUUGUUCUCAAAAGUGUGUUAUAGUUUGUUAGAAAACUUGUGUUUCAUUCUGAGAAUUAUAAGCAUUAUAAGCAAGAUGGUUAGGACAUGCUGAGAGAAGCUUUUCAGCAAUUGAUUCUCCAUUGUUUGAUCAAUGGAAAAUGGCCGCAAGGAAUGCUUCUUUGAUUAGCAUGAGCAACGAGCAUAUCAAAAGAAAUGUGGUUUGUAAUCUUCAUUUUGCAGAUAAUUACAAUAAAAGACCUAACUUCUACACUUAUGAAAUGCCAAAGUUAACUGAAAAUAUUAUGGAAGAUCCAGAAAUGGAUAUUGAUAAAAUUCAUGCAAAUACCCAUAUGAAAGAUACAAUGCAAGAAGUGGUUGAAAUUGAUAAUUUAAAUAUUAGAAAACGAAAAAGGAUCACUUGAUCAAAAAAUUAUGUAAGGGAACAUAUUGAGUACAUAUACAGUAGAAAAUCUAUUUGAAUUUACUAUACACAAACUGUUUUGGGAGUACAUAGGUGGAAUCAUAAUAUUUUAAAGCAUGAAAGCGAUUGGAUAAACUAAAUUGAGGAAAUGAAGCAUCAAGUAAGCCAAUAAGGGAUCUUAGAUGGUUUAGAUCUUGAAAUGUACCUAGAAAAGAAAAAAAACUAGGAUAUAAUUGACAAAGAUGGAUGUCUCUUUCACACCAAAUUUCUAAUUUCAAUCCGAAGCAAAUUUCGAGAACAUAUUAA
Long non-coding RNA from Nicrophorus vespilloides, 998 nucleotides. RefSeq lists it as uncharacterized. The transcript is spliced from 3 exons. Lineage: Eukaryota; Metazoa; Arthropoda; Insecta; Coleoptera; Silphidae. The record is from RefSeq and is a predicted model, not a curated record.